RNAcentral lists this ribosomal RNA (468 nucleotides) under uncultured bacterium. RNAcentral describes it as "partial 16S ribosomal RNA". It matches the Rfam family "Bacterial small subunit ribosomal RNA", at positions 28 to 507 of the family's 1533-position model. The record is from RNAcentral.
GACGAACGCUGGCGGCGUGCUUAACACAUGCAAGUCGAACGGAAAGGCCCUGCUUUUGUGGGGUGCUCGAGUGGCGAACGGGUGUGUAACACGUGAGUAACCUGCCCUUGACUUUGGGAUAACUUCAGGAAACUGGGGCUAAUACCGGAUAUGAGCUCCUGCUGCAUGGUGGGGGUUGGAAAGUUUCGGCGGUUGUGGAUGGACUCGCGGCUUAUCAGCUUGUUGGUGGGGUAGUGGCUUACCAAGGCUUUGACGGGUAGCCGGCCUGAGAGGGUGACCGGCGACAUUGGGACUGAGAGACGGAGCAGACGCCUACGGGAGGCAGCAGUGGGGAAUAUUGCGCAAUGGGCGGAAGCCUGAUGCAGCAACGCUGCGUGCGGGAUGACGGCCUUCGAGUUGUAAACCGCUUUCGCCUGUGACGAAGCGUGAGUGACGGUAAUGGGUAAAGAAGCACCGGCUAACUACGUG